UCUGAGCACCGGUGCUAACGUUGCAGAAGCCCAGAUUAAGUCCGAGGCCCGGUAUCGUACUGGGGAGGCAUCUGGCUGUAAAGUGCAGAGGCAAGUCAGCAUAAGGCCGGGGCCUGGUUUUGUGCUAGGGAGGCAGCUGGCUCUGGUUACUGGAUUAAGUCAGCGUAAGGCCAGGGCCUAGUUUCGUGCUGGGGAGGCGGCUGGCUCUGUGAACAUCCUGCAGGUUCCACAGGUUUCAUCGGGAGAAGCCAAAGAGAGAACCAAGCCUUCAGCUCCUCCCAGAAAAAGGGGCCCCACCUAGGAAACUCGGAGAAAGGCGGAAAAAAA
Molecule: long non-coding RNA, 327 nt
Organism: Capra hircus (goat)
Lineage: Eukaryota; Metazoa; Chordata; Mammalia; Artiodactyla; Bovidae
Exons: 2
Source: RefSeq, a predicted model, not a curated record